GACGAACGCUGGCGGCGUGCUUAACACAUGCAAGUCGAACGGAGUUCCUCAGAUCAAGGCUUCGGCCAAGUGAAGUUGAACUUAGUGGCGGACUGGUGAGUAACGCGUGAGGAACCUGCCUUUCAGAGGGGGACAACAGUUGGAAACGACUGCUAAUACCGCAUGACGCAUAUGGAUCGCAUGGUCUGUAUGCCAAAGAUUUUAUCGCUGAAAGAUGGCCUCGCGUCUGAUUAGCUUGUUGGUGAGGUAACGGCCCACCAAGGCGACGAUCAGUAGCCGGUCUGAGAGGAUGAACGGCCACAUUGGGACUGAGAUACGGCCCAG
This 324-nucleotide ribosomal RNA is filed under the name uncultured bacterium. RNAcentral describes it as "bacterial SSU rRNA". It matches the Rfam family "Bacterial small subunit ribosomal RNA", at positions 28 to 334 of the family's 1533-position model. The record is from RNAcentral.